GCGGGUGUAGUUUAGUGGUAAAACCCCAGCCUUCCAAGCUGGUGAUGAGGGUUCGAUUCCCUUCACCCGCUCCA
RNAcentral lists this transfer RNA (74 nucleotides) under Sporosarcina luteola. RNAcentral's name for it is "tRNA-Gly". It matches the Rfam family "tRNA". Rfam says of the family: Transfer RNA (tRNA) molecules are approximately 80 nucleotides in length. Their secondary structure includes four short double-helical elements and three loops (D, anti-codon, and T loops). Further hydrogen bonds mediate the characteristic L-shaped molecular structure. tRNAs have two regions of fundamental functional importance: the anti-codon, which is responsible for specific mRNA codon recognition, and the 3' end, to which the tRNAs corresponding amino acid is attached (by aminoacyl-tRNA synthetases). tRNAs cope with the degeneracy of the genetic code in two manners: having more than one tRNA (with a specific anti-codon) for a particular amino acid; and 'wobble' base-pairing, i.e. permitting non-standard base-pairing at the 3rd anti-codon position. The record is from RNAcentral. Lineage: Bacteria; Bacillati; Bacillota; Bacilli; Caryophanales; Caryophanaceae. RNAcentral also lists the same sequence under 12 other names.